Molecule: ribosomal RNA, 402 nt
Filed under: Carnobacterium sp. AZTITEMP54
Lineage: Bacteria; Bacillati; Bacillota; Bacilli; Lactobacillales; Carnobacteriaceae
Description: bacterial SSU rRNA
Rfam family: Bacterial small subunit ribosomal RNA
Source: RNAcentral
GUCUUGACNUCCUUUGACCNCUCGAGAGANCGAGCUUUCCCUUCGGGGACAAAGUGACAGGUGGUGCAUGGUUGUCGUCAGCUCGUGUCGUGAGAUGUUGGGUUAAGUCCCGCAACGAGCGCAACCCUUAUUACUAGUUGCCAGCAUUCAGUUGGGCACUCUAGUGAGACUGCCGGUGACAAACCGGAGGAAGGUGGGGAUGACGUCAAAUCAUCAUGCCCCUUAUGACCUGGGCUACACACGUGCUACAAUGGAUGGUACAACGAGUCGCGAAGUCGUGAGGCCAAGCUAAUCUCUUAAAGCCAUUCUCAGUUCGGAUUGUAGGCUGCAACUCGCCUACAUGAAGCCGGAAUCGCUAGUAAUCGCGGAUCAGAACGCCGCGGUGAAUACGUUCCCGGGAAA